AAUCAACGCUGGCGGCGUGCCUCAGACAUGCAAGUCGAACGCGAAAGUCCCCUUCGGGGGACGAAGUAGAGUGGCGCACGGGUGAGUAACACGUAGGUAAUCCACCUUCGGAUGGGGAAGUAACAACCGGAAACGGUUGCUAAUACCGCAUAAUGCAGCGGCACCUAAUGGUGACAGUUGUUAAAGCGGGGGAGUCGAAAGACCUCGCGUCUGAAGAGGAGCCUGCGGCGGAUUAGCAGUUGGUAAGGUAACGGCUUACCAAGGCGACGAUCCGUAGCCGGCCUGAGAGGGCGGUCGGCCACACUGACACUGACAUACGGGUCAGACUCCUACGGGAGGCAGCAGUCGGGGAA
Molecule: ribosomal RNA, 353 nt
Filed under: uncultured bacterium
Lineage: Bacteria
Description: bacterial SSU rRNA
Rfam family: Bacterial small subunit ribosomal RNA
Source: RNAcentral